CCUGGGAAAUAUAUCUCGCCGAGCGAGUAAUUGGCCCCGGUUGUCACCGGCUUUGUGGAGAAGAGGUGGUCUCUUGCUGCUGAUCGGUAGAGACCCGAGAAUUCGAGUCGAAAACCCUAGCUAGCUAGACGAGAUAUGGCGGGGAUUCGGGUCUCGAUGGAGGUUGGGAGCGACGGAGUCGCGGUGAUCACCAUCUCCAAUCCUCCCGUCAAUGCGUUGCAUCCCAUGAUUAUUGCUGGAUUGAAGGAGAAGUACACCGAAGCGAUGAAUAGAGAUGACGUCAAGGCCAUUGUGUUAACAGGCGAUGUGGGCAAGUUCUCUGGUGGUUUUGAUAUCAAUGUUUUAGCUGAAAUCCACAAGACGGGAGAUCUAUCACGUCUACCAGACGUAUCUGUUGAACUUGUGGUGAAUAUAAUUGAAGAUGCCAAGAAGCCUUCUGUUGCAGCUAUUCGAGGACUUGCACUUGGUGGUGGUUUGGAGUUGGCAAUGGGUUGUCAUGCUCGAAUAUCUUCUCCUGAAGCUGAACUUGGAUUACCAGAAUUGACUCUUGGAGUUAUUCCUGGUUUUGGAGGCACCCAGCGUCUACCAAGGCUUGUAGGGCUGUCAAAGGCUAUAGAAAUGAUGCUGCUAUCAAAGUCAAUCCGUGCCAAGGAAGGGAAAGAGUAUGGCCUUAUUGAUGCCAUUGUCCCCCCUGAAGAGUUGAUAAAGAUAUCACGACUUUGGGCUUUAGAAAUUGCUGAACGAUGCAAACCCUGGAUUAACUCUCUUUGUCGAACUGACAGACUUGGUUCCCUUGCUGAAGCGCAUGAAAUAUUGAAAGUUGCUAGGCAACAAGCUAAGAGAAUAGCUCCAAAUAUGCCACAGCACCAAGUAUGCCUUGAUGCAAUUCAGGAAGGCGUCGUUUUUGGAGGAUAUGCUGGUGUUCUGAAGGAAGCAAAGGUUUUUAAGGAGUUGGUUUUAUCAAGCACUUCGAAGGGGCUUGUCCAUGUCUUUUUUGCACAACGUGCAACUUCUAAGGUACCUAAUGUUACUGAUGUUGGACUCAGACCUAGGCAGAUAAAAAGGGUUGCUGUUAUUGGUGUUGGUUUAAUGGGUUCUGGCAUAGCUACCACCCUUAUACUAAAUAACAUAUCUGUCAUUCUCAAGGAAAUUGAUUCCAAAUUUCUGCACAAGGGACUGAAAAUGAUAGAAGCCAAUCUUGAAGGUCUAAUGAAGAAAGGCUCAUUGACACAGGAUAAGAUGAAUAAGGCCUUAUCACUUCUUAAGGGUGUAUUGGACUAUUCAGAGUUCAAGCAUGUUGAUAUGGUUAUAGAGGCUGUUAUUGAAAGUGUUUCACUAAAACAGUCAAUAUUUGCUGAUAUUGAGAAGUUGUGUCCUCCAACAUGCAUUUUGGCAACCAACACGUCCUCGAUUGAUCUGAAUAUUGUUGGAGAGAGAACGCAUUCUCAAGAUCGGAUUCUGGGGGCACAUUUUUUCAGUCCAGCUCAUUUGAUGCCUCUCCUGGAAAUUGUUCGGACAGAGAAGACAUCUCCACAAGUAAUCUUUGAUCUCAUGACAGUUGGGAAGACUAUAAAGAAAGUCCCUGUUGUAGUUGGAAACUGCACUGGCUUUGCAGUUAAUCGCACAUUCUUUCCAUACAACCAAGCAGCAAAUAUGUUGGUUCAUCUAGGUGUUGACCUGUUCAGAAUUGAUAGAGUGAUCAGCAAUUUUGGCAUGCCAAUGGGCCCUUUUCAACUUCAGGAUUUGGGUGGAUAUGGACUGCAUUUCGCAGUUGGGGAAAUAUAUGAUUCCGCCUUCAGGGGUCGUAUGUUUCGGUCUGAUCUGGUAAAAUUGUUGGUAGAAAAUGGGCGAAAUGGAAAGAGCAACGGGAAGGGUUUCUACAUUCAUGAAAAGGGAAGCAAACCAAAACCUGAUCCUAGCAUACAAGCUAUUGUUGAGGAAUCUAGAAGGCGUGCUAAUGUCAUGCCUGGUGGAAAGCCUAUAAUUGUGAGUGACCAAGAAAUUUUGGAGAUGGUUUUCUUUCCAGCUGUGAAUGAGGCAUGUAGGGUGAUGGAUGAACGAGUUGUUGUUCGAGCGUCAGACCUUGAUAUUGCAUCUGUUCUUGGAAUGGGUUUCCCGAGAUACAGGGGUGGCAUCGUGUUUUGGGCUGAUACUGUUGGAGCUGGUUACAUAUAUUCAAGACUCAAAAAGUGGGCUGAAAUAUAUGGUGGCUUCUUUAGACCAUCAUCUUACUUGGAGGAAAGAGCCAACAAAGGCCUACCACUGAGCAUGCACGAUAUGUCUCCAUUGGAAGUAUCAAGAUCGCGCAUGUAGUUGGCUCUACUACCACUGGAGAAGAUUUAAGGGCUUGCCUAUAGAUUCUGUUCUGGCUUCAAGUAUGCAAACACAAUCAGCACUUGGACCAUAAAAAGCACCAAAUAAUUCAACAUGUUUCUCCUUGCUGUCUGUGGUAUUUGAUGAGUCAGCUACUGCAAAAUAAUGUGGACCAUCAGUGGUAGCUUGUCUUCUUGUUCUUCGUAUAUGUAUCAGAUUAUACUUCAUCUGCUCUUUGUCUAGCUGUAUGUCACGUCUAGUGGAUGAUGGAACUUUAUGUUGUUUUCGUUCCACGAACGUAGCAAUCCUAUGGUCGCGUGUGGUGGGAGCAUAAGAAAAUAGCCUAGAUGUGCUUAGUAUCUAUCGACUGUCAACAAUCUUAUUCCCGGAUAAGAUGUUCUUUGGUUGGUUUUUCAGACAGCUUAGAAUUUAGAACAAACUAUCCAUUUUUUGCAAAAUGACAUAACUAUUACCUGUUAUAGAUUAUUUUAUGUUGUAACAUUAAUAUUUUAUAAUACCAAAAAUAUUGUAAUUAUAAUAUACUGCCAGUCUUAAGUCAA
This is an RNA transcript of Phoenix dactylifera (date palm), 2873 nucleotides long. It is a transcript of the gene named peroxisomal fatty acid beta-oxidation multifunctional protein-like, with no coding region annotated. The record is from RefSeq and is a predicted model, not a curated record. Lineage: Eukaryota; Viridiplantae; Streptophyta; Magnoliopsida; Arecales; Arecaceae.